CACGCAGGCGGUCAUACAAGUCAGCUGUUAAAUGCAUGGGCUUAACCGAUGCAUGCGGUUGAAACUGUAUGGCUAGAGUACUGGAGAGGUAAGCGGAAUUCCCGGUGUAGCGGUGAAAUGCGUAGAUAUCGGGAAGAACACCAGUGGCGAAGGCGGCUUACUGGCCAGUAACUGACGCUGAGGUGCGAAAGCCAGGGGGAGCGAACC
This 207-nucleotide ribosomal RNA is filed under the name uncultured bacterium. Its description in RNAcentral is "partial 16S ribosomal RNA". It matches the Rfam family "Bacterial small subunit ribosomal RNA", at positions 568 to 774 of the family's 1533-position model. The record is from RNAcentral.